CAACUGCAUCAAACCAAGUCAAGGAGGCAAAUGAUUCAUCGCCUCUAAUACUCAUCCUAUUAUGCAGACUAAAUAUUUCGUUUAUAACGCUCACCUGUUCAUUAAUAAACAGGGUAGGAAUAAAAGAAAAAUUCUGGGAUAACUGACAGAUUCUCAUAACGCGUACGAGGCGAGAGGUAAUCUUGUUAUAUAUCGAUCAACCCAGACACCAGACUGCAUGCAGCAAGCAGCAGUCAGCUUAGUGCCUUAUUCCGAGAGCAAGUUGCGCCGUGUCGGCAUAUCAGCUCGUUUGUAUUUUAUCCCACUCAUAAGAUAGCGGCAAAAUGGCCCACGGCUGUGUUUCAAGAUUCAACUCUGACAGCGAAAGGACACCGGACAGGUUACAAGGAAAGACGACGGCAGAAGGCUUCCGUCCCGGGCAAACAUGCAACGGCCGCCUGACUACCCUGUGGAAACGAAUCUUCAUCCUGUCGAUCAUUCUAAUAAUCCCUCUGACGAAGAGCUUCGUGUAAAAAUGCCACUACUCUACCUUGAGAUUUUUUACUACUUAACCUUGAGAACAACAUAGAAAAAUAUAGGUCCAUCCUCUGGGCCAGCAUGUGAAAAUAAGUGUCUAUAAACAUUCCUUCAAGAAUUACGUAAGGCUGCUGGAAGAGUUACGUAAUGCUACUGGCCUUCAACAUCUGAUUAGUUUUAAGUAUCCAGACUUUUCCACUUUUUGGAGCAUAUGAAGUUUAGUGGGGACGAGUCCUUCUUCUAAACAAAAUUAGCAUGGUUUUCCCUUGGAAAAUCUAUAUUUCCUCUUACUGUAAACUAGUUUACACUACUGUGUACAUAGAUAUAGGCUUAUGUCUUUACUUUUCAGAUAUUCGAUAUUUCAUGCAAAUGCCAUGCUUGUUAUAAGCUUCCCAAAGAGAUUGUUUCCAUAUGUAAUCCCUAGCAUUUUCAUUCAACAUCCUUUUUUUUUUUAAUAUCACGACGUUACUAAUAACAUUCAACUCGAAAUACUCUGACGCUAUCACUACUUUCAACCAUUGCUGUCAAAAGUCAACGUUAAUAACCCAACUCUUGUGACGCCAGGAGCUAUAAAUCUAUCAACCACUUUCACUUUGGUCAAAAGUCUGAUACUGUUGUGAAUAAGCGAAGCGUAAUUAUCAGAUAACCUCUCUGGCUCCCUACAGUGUCUGAAACCAACCCCCCCAACAACAAUCCCAAUGUCCUAAUGUCUUUCGUUCCUUGAGCUCAUUCAGUUGUUUGAAUGUUACAGCUCGCAAGCAAUAGACAAGUAUUUCAAUAAAUAAAUAGCAAAGAAAGUAAAAUUAAGUUCUGGUGAGACUGAGACUCAUUAUAAAACUCUUCAUGUUCUUUGUAGCGUAACACGGGAAAAGUUCCUAGUUUCGUAAAAACUUCAGUGAAUUCUAGUCAAUCUUUCGCAAACUAUUAGUACUAAACGUGAUCACUAAUAAAGUUGAUAGUGUUUUUUGUGUUUUAACUAAAAAAAAUAUCACUGCUUCUGGGCAUAUUCUAUAUUUAAUUUUACGAGGUAUGUAUGUAAAUAGGUAGUUUUAUACAUUAUUCUGUACUACUGUAGAAUAUCGCUAAAUUCUUUGAUAAAAAUGAGAUUGAAGUAAUCCGGUGUACUUUUACCCUCAUACUGAUAAGAAUUGUGAUAGCAGUAAGGUUUAUAUGGUUUUAAACUACAAAAAGUAGGCAACAAUAAAAGUUUUUUGCAAUUUUACAGAAGGUAAAAAUUAUAAAUGCGUGAGAUAACUUUUAGAAGCUGCAUGAAGAAAUAUCCUACAAGAAAGCUGGCCUUCACCUUCUCACAAGGGAAACCUAAAUCCUGGUUUUUUUCUUAGUAGGGACUAACAAACCAUAAACUGGCCAUUUCAUUUUGGAUAUCAUACAUGGCACAGUCAUCCUUCCCUUUUAAUAUUCGUCACUACCAAGAUUUCCAUAUAGAUUUAUAAGGUAGUUUUUGCUGUAGAAUCCAUUUCUGCUUGGGGCAUUUUUGUUUUGUGCAUAUUUAAUUAGAUUAUUUGCAUUUUUGCAUAAAUUAGCGGAAAUUACAUUUAAAGAGCUUAUUAGUGGCAUUUUGGUGGUUAUUUGAGGUAAAUAAAUGGAAAGUGUGUCUUGUUCAGGAUUGCUUUUAUUUACAGGAUAAUAACUGUGCAUGUUCAUUGUUCUUAAUUGACAUAAAUUAAGAAAAUAUUAUUACGACUCAAGCGAAAAGCGGUACCAGUAAAUUUCUGUUCAAUCUUAUUUGAUUGACCUUUCUGCGUGUUCCGUUGGGCAUAUGGCAUGCCUGUAUAUUGGUAUUGCUUGUACUGUGAACCCUCAGUCUCCAAAGAAUGACAAGGGCUUGUGUUGACUACCAGUACAUAUUUGGCUCAGAAGGUUUGGCCUGCUGCUAGUGAUUGGAAGUCUUUGCUUAGAUACACGUCAGAGGUCUGCAAAAACCACUGCAUUGAGCUUGACAGUGCAUCGACUUUCCGGAUGAAAAUGAAGCAACCAAGUUUCUGAGUAAAUGUGGUCAUGGAGUGUCCUAUGCUGAUGUACGUUUGCUGACGAACACAUGAGAGCAACAAGUGACCAUACAGUCUACACGAAAAAUUACACCUGGUUUGUGAAAGGAAGAGCUGUGCACGUCACAAUAUGUAAUUCAGAUGGGAAACAGCAGACUCUUACAGGUUCACACAUACUAACACAACCCACAAACGGAACCUUGUUUCAGAAUAGAUUGCUGCUUGAAGAUGAUGAUAAUUCUACAGAUGAAUAUCACCAGGAAGAGGAGAACAAUACACUCGUUGAUGCAGAAUCCAUAGAACAUGGUUAUGGAGCAUUCAGGAUAGGAAAGGGGAAGUGGGUUUGGAGGGAAUAUCACAGGCCGCUUCAUCUCCAUAGUUCAUGGGGACUUCAUAACUGAUGUAACUAUAAACAGAGGUCGAAGUCAGGGGUUGCCCGAUGCAAGGAGGCUUCAGCACAUCGCUAAAAGUAGAUGCUUUUCUCAAAAGUCAUCUGAUGGCAAAAGUGAGGACAGCACUGAAAGAGAAAUUAAAUCUAAUGACAAAUUCAGCACACAAAGAAAGGAGAACGUGAGAAAACAGUGGUCACUGGUUGACAAAUGCAUGGAUCCAUUUGCACCAGGUGUCCCAAGACAUUUCAAAACUGGCGAGGGCCUUGAAAAUAUUGUGAAAGGCUUGUUCUAUUCCACUGAGAUUGGGGAGAUGUUGCUAUUGAAGUUUAUAGAGGAAAGGCUGAAGAUGGUGUCAGUUUCUUCAAACAUGUAAAGAAAACAAAUAUAAAACCUGGAUGAGAAAAACCCAAGAAACCACCAACGGCUGUUAAUAUACUAAAAGAGGAGAAGCAGGCCACCUACCCCUUGAUCUCUGUACCUGUAGCCCAUUCUACAAAAGUUAAAAACUUAAAACAA
Macrobrachium nipponense is the source of this 3433-nucleotide long non-coding RNA. RefSeq lists it as uncharacterized. Lineage: Eukaryota; Metazoa; Arthropoda; Malacostraca; Decapoda; Palaemonidae. The transcript is spliced from 3 exons. The record is from RefSeq and is a predicted model, not a curated record.